UGUGGAUUAUGUCCCUGUCUUUAUAAAUAAUAAGUGUGUAGGAAUGAUGUCCUAUUGUAAAAUGAGAUGACUGGACCUGAACAGUCCAGAUACUACUGCAAAUUACAUCCUGGGUUGAAAUAGAUAGUUAUGUGCUUAUAUAUGGAGAGAAAAAAAGAGAACAGAAAAUGUCAUGUUUAAACUAUACAAGGAUUUAUAUACAUUUCAAAAUGACUUUAAUGAUUUGUUUUUGUUUUUUGGCAUGAUGUAAAAAUUCAUGUCUCGCUGUCACGGUCCUGUUAAAAUGAGUUCUGUGUCUUGUUUGUGAAAUGAGUUGUAAAUGUAAUAAAUACUAUAUGGAAAGAGAAGCCUGUUGAAAGCAACUAGUUAUUCAUUACCGUGUACUAGAAACGACAACCUGGGCAGUAGGUCAUCUUUAAUCAACUGGUAUUCACUACCGUGUACUAGAA
Molecule: long non-coding RNA, 449 nt
Organism: Oncorhynchus tshawytscha (Chinook salmon)
Lineage: Eukaryota; Metazoa; Chordata; Actinopteri; Salmoniformes; Salmonidae
Source: Ensembl